CGAACGGCAGCACAGGGAGCUUGCUCCCGGGUGGCGAGUGGCGCACGGGUGAGUAAUACAUCGGAACGUGUCCUGUUGUGGGGGAUAACUGCUCGAAAGGGUGGCUAAUACCGCAUGAGACCUGAGGGUGAAAGCGGGGGAUCGCAAGACCUCGCGCAAUUGGAGCGGCCGAUGCCCGAUUAGCUAGUUGGUGAGGUAAAGGCUCACCAAGGCGACGAUCGGUAGCUGGUCUGAGAGGACGACCAGCCACACUGGGACUGAGACACGGCCCAGACUCCUACGGGAGGCAGCAGUGGGGAAUUUUGGACAAUGGGGGCAACCCUGAUCCAGCCAUGCCGCGUGCAGGAUGAAGGCCUUCGGGUUGUAAACUGCUUUUGUCAGGGACGAAAAGGAUCGUGAUAAUACCAUGGUCUGCUGACGGUACCUGAAGAAUAAGCACCGGCUAACUACGUGCCAGCAGCCGCGGUAAUACGUAGGGUGCAAGCGUUAAUCGGAAUUACUGGGCGUAAAGCGUGCGCAGGCGGUUCUGUAAGACAGAUGUGAAAUCCCCGGGCUCAACCUGGGAAUUGCAUUUGUGACUGCAGGACUAGAGUUCAUCAGAGGGGGGUGGAAUUCCAAGUGUAGCAGUGAAAUGCGUAGAUAUUUGGAAGAACACCAAUGGCGAAGGCAGCCCCCUGGGAUGCGACUGACGCUCAUGCACGAAAGCGUGGGGA
Molecule: ribosomal RNA, 713 nt
Filed under: uncultured bacterium
Lineage: Bacteria
Description: bacterial SSU rRNA
Rfam family: Bacterial small subunit ribosomal RNA
Source: RNAcentral